This 119-nucleotide ribosomal RNA is filed under the name Pteropus alecto (black flying fox). Lineage: Eukaryota; Metazoa; Chordata; Mammalia; Chiroptera; Pteropodidae. The record is from RNAcentral.
GUCUACGGCCAUGCCACCCUGAACAAGCCGGAUCCCGUCUGAUCUCGGAAGCUAAGCAGGGUCGGGCCUGGUUAGUGCUUAGAUGGGAGACGACCUAGGAAGACCAGAUGUUGUAGGCG